UGGCCAGACUCCUACGGGAGGCAGCAGUGGGGAAUAUUGCACAAUGGGGGGAACCCUGAUGCAGCAAUGCCGCGUGAAGGAUGAAGGUUUUCGGAUUGUAAACUUCUUUUGUACGGGACGAAGAAAGUGACGGUACCGUAAGAAUGAGCCACGGCUAACUACGUGCCAGCAGCCGCGGUAAUACGGAGGAUGCGAGCGUUAUCCGGAUUUAUUGGGUUUAAAGGGUGCGUAGGCGGUUCGUUAAGUCAGUGUGCAAUUGGGGGUCCUCAACCCCUUCCCGCCAUUGAAACUGGCGCUCUUGAGUGGAAGAGAAGUAUGCGGAAUGCGUGGUGUAGCGGUGAAAUGCAUAGAUAUCACGCAGAACCCCGAUUGCGAAGGCAGCAUGCCGGCUUCCGACUGACGCUGAAGCACGAAAGCGUGGGGAUCGAACAGGAUUAGAUACCCGCGUA
RNAcentral lists this ribosomal RNA (449 nucleotides) under uncultured bacterium. Its description in RNAcentral is "bacterial SSU rRNA". It matches the Rfam family "Bacterial small subunit ribosomal RNA", at positions 328 to 792 of the family's 1533-position model. The record is from RNAcentral.